GGUAAUUGAAAUAUAGGUUUAGAGCUUAUUUUUGAAUAUUUUUCGCAAUAAUAGUGGUGGGUAACAUUUUAGAAAAUAUAAUAGAUCAAUGGCUAUGAUUAUUAGAGUUUAUAGGAUUGGUGUUUGACGUUUUUAAUUUUUAUGAGAAUUUGUCUCUUUUUUCUAGCUUGUCUCGUGGGAACUAAUGCGAAGCCUCCAAUGAAAAAAAAUGAGACUACAUUGCUAAAAAAC
This 231-nucleotide long non-coding RNA is filed under the name Setaria viridis. RNAcentral describes it as "long non-coding RNA (SVIR_LNC009834)". The record is from RNAcentral. Lineage: Eukaryota; Viridiplantae; Streptophyta; Magnoliopsida; Poales; Poaceae.